This 468-nucleotide ribosomal RNA is filed under the name uncultured bacterium. RNAcentral describes it as "partial 16S ribosomal RNA". It matches the Rfam family "Bacterial small subunit ribosomal RNA", at positions 28 to 507 of the family's 1533-position model. The record is from RNAcentral.
GACGAACGCUGGCGGCGUGCUUAACACAUGCAAGUCGAACGGACAGGCCCUGCUCUUGUGGGGUGCUCGAGUGUCGAACGCGUGAGUAACACGCGAGUAACCUGCCCUUGACUUUGGGAUCACUUCAGGAAACUGGGGCUAAUACCGGAUAGGAGCUCCUGAUGCACGGUGGGGGUUGGCCAGUUUCGGCGGUUAGGGAUGGCCUCGCGGCUUCUCAGCUUGUCGGUGGGGUGGUGGCUUACCACGGCUUUGACGGGUAGCCGGCCUGAGAGGGUGGACGGCCACAUUGGGACUGAGAGACGGCCCAGACUCCUACGGGCGGCAGCAGUGGGGAAUUUUGCCCAAUGGGCGGAAGCCUGAUGCAGCAACGCCGCGUGCGGGAUGACGGCCUUCGGGUUGUAAACCGCUUUCGCCUGUGACGAGGCGUGAGUGACGGUAAUGGGUAAAGAAGCACCGGCUAACUACGUG